UACGUAGGGUCCAAGCGUUAUCCGGAAUCACUGGGCGUAAAGCGUGCGUAGGCGGGUGUUUAAGUGCAAUGCGAAAUCCUGUGGCUCAACCAUAUGGACUGUAUUGCAUACUGGAUACCUGGAGGAAUGCAGAGGCAAGUGGAAUUACUGGUGUAGCAGUGAAAUGCGUAGAUAUCAGUAGGAACACCAAUGGCGAAGGCAGCUUGCUGGGCAUUUUCUGACGCUAAGGCACGAAAGCGUGGGGAGCGAACAGG
This 254-nucleotide ribosomal RNA is filed under the name uncultured bacterium. RNAcentral describes it as "partial 16S ribosomal RNA". It matches the Rfam family "Bacterial small subunit ribosomal RNA", at positions 524 to 776 of the family's 1533-position model. The record is from RNAcentral.